This 600-nucleotide ribosomal RNA is filed under the name uncultured Methanosarcina sp. RNAcentral describes it as "bacterial SSU rRNA". It matches the Rfam family "Archaeal small subunit ribosomal RNA", at positions 93 to 691 of the family's 1478-position model. Lineage: Archaea; Methanobacteriati; Methanobacteriota; Methanomicrobia; Methanosarcinales; Methanosarcinaceae. The record is from RNAcentral.
CUAACACGUGGAUAACCUGCCCUUGGGACCUGCAUAACCCCGGGAAACUGGGGAUAAUUCGGGAUAACGCAUAUGUGCUGGAAUGCUUUAUGCGUAAAAAGGAUUCGUCCGCCCAAGGAUGGGUCUGCGGCCUAUCAGGUAGUAGUGGGUGUAAUGUACCUACUAUCCGACCACGGGUACGGGUUGUGAGAGCAAGAGCCCGGAGAUGGAUUCUGAGACAUGAAUCCAGGCCCUACGGGGCGCAGCAGGCGCGAAAACUUUACAAUGCGCGGAAACCGUGAUAAGGGGACACCGAGUGUCAGCAUCAUAUGCUGGCUGUCCAGGUGUGUAAAAUACACCUGUUAGCAAGGGCCGGGCAAGACCGGUGCCAGCCGCCGCGGUAACACCGGCGGCCCGACUGUUGAUCCUGAUUAUUGGGUCUAAAGGGUCCGUAGCCGGUUUGGUCAGUCCUCCUGGAAAUCUGAUAGCUCAACUAUUAGGCUAUCGGGGGAUACUACCAGACUUGCAACCGGGACAGGUAAGAGGUACUACAGGGGUAGGAGUGACAUCUUGGGUCCCUGUGGUACCACCUGUGGCGAAUCCGUCUUACCAUAAGGGUUC